GAAAUGCGAUAAGUAGUGUGAAUUGCGGAAUUCGUGAAUCAUCAAGUUUUUGAACGCAAAUGGCGCCGAUACUUGUAUUGGCACACCUAUUUGAGUGUUGGCUAAAAUCUUCUCAAUCUCCUCGAAGAUGAUAUUGAGAGAUGAUGAAUGUCUAUCUAUUCCUCGUGAUGAGAUAGUCAUUUUAAAUAGAUCAAUUGAAAACCUUUCACUGUGACUUGUAAUGAGAAACUUAAAAGUAAAUCAAUUCAUUAGAAUUUUGUUCUUUUCUUUUCAUUCUUGAUUAGAAUUGACAAUCAACCUCAAAUUAGGUGAGAGUACCCGCUGAAUUUAA
This 331-nucleotide unclassified non-coding RNA is filed under the name uncultured Glomeromycotina. Its description in RNAcentral is "sequence contains ITS1". The stretch from base 1 to 100 matches the Rfam family "5.8S ribosomal RNA", at positions 50 to 154 of the family's 154-position model. The record is from RNAcentral. Lineage: Eukaryota; Fungi; Glomeromycota.